GUUUCAGGAAAGGGUGAGAUUCCCUACUGGUGGUGACGUUUGAGACAGAUAAAAGCCUGCUCGAUCAAACGAAGUCCGCGACCCGCGCAAGCGGUUGACUUGGUGAGAUUCCAAGACCAACGGUAUAGUCCGGAUGGGAGAAGC
Molecule: non-coding RNA, 144 nt
Filed under: uncultured Lancefieldella sp.
Lineage: Bacteria; Bacillati; Actinomycetota; Coriobacteriia; Coriobacteriales; Atopobiaceae
Description: FMN riboswitch (RFN element)
Rfam family: FMN riboswitch aptamer (RFN element)
About the family: The RFN element is a highly conserved domain that is found frequently in the 5'-untranslated regions of prokaryotic mRNAs that encode for flavin mononucleotide (FMN) biosynthesis and transport proteins.
Source: RNAcentral